Dunckerocampus dactyliophorus (ringed pipefish) is the source of this 3057-nucleotide long non-coding RNA. RefSeq lists it as uncharacterized. The transcript is spliced from 3 exons. NCBI's taxonomy places the organism in Eukaryota, Metazoa, Chordata, Actinopteri, Syngnathiformes, Syngnathidae. The record is from RefSeq and is a predicted model, not a curated record.
UCGCCCUGCUCCGCAGUCAAUCGCCGGUUAGGAAAGAUAAGAUGACACACAACGUACCAAUCACAACAGCAGACCACACACAUUAGAGCCUGACACCUUUUCAUGAAUCCCGCGAGAUCGGAGUCAACUUUACUAUUAAUCACGUGAUCGUGACGGUGCAUGAUAAAUAGUUACCCGGAACCAACCACUUGGCGAUGACUUGUGAAGCCACACGGCCGCCACAUUGCCACUCGCAAGAAACACUUCUCGACAAGCUUUUGCAUUCGUGGUGAACUUCUUUAGUUAAUUCGCAUUGGACACGAAUGUUGCCGUAAGAUGCCUGCAUGUGCAGCUAUUAACUGCACAAAUCACCAGUUCAAAGGCUGUGGACGAACAUUUCACCUCGGAGAUGCAAGGACCUGCGAGUCAAAUUCUUUCCAUAUCCCACCUGUUGCUGCAGGAACUGGGGCAGAGCUGGUGGCAGAGCUUGAUCCAGAUGAUGAAGGUGCUGAGGUCUGAGUCACUGACUGCAUGUCUGUAAUAAGUCCAGCUUUUACAGGCUCAACAUUUCCAGAGUCACGGAAUCCCAGAUUUUUAAAUCAAAUGUCCAUGUAGGGUUGCUAUGGCUCAGCCUCAGCCGGUAUCCAGUGCACACUGACAUACUCUGUAACGUGAUUGGCUGCUGGCUCUGCAAGGCAGGGCACAGAACAAGAAAGGGCAGGAAGGCAAAAAAAGGAAAGAGACGACGGUGGAGUGCUGAGGCAGAGCAUCUCUAGCAAGAGCAGUGAGUACCGUGUUACCGGGAAAACCAUGACAAAAGGUGGGUGGGGACAGCAGGAAAACAAAGCCACCAUUUUUGUUUUUUUUUCUUUUUUUCAUGUGAUUGUAACAGUGAUGGGAUGAGGAAUGCCACACAAGAAGGCAAGAUGACAUAAAUGAUGGAAAAUAGGCGAUAUCUACAUGCAGUAUCCUCCUUGGUCAUUUAUGCUGAUAUUUGGAGCCAUAGUGUGAAGAGGAACACAAGGAAAACCAGUGCAAGACAGAGACGAGAGAAGAUUAAAGGAGGGCGGACACUUUGGUAUGUAACACCACAAAAGCCAUAAAUAAAACCACAAGAUUUUUCACACACAGCCUCCACGAGCAGGCCGGGGCUCCAGUCAACAUUGGCAAAGUGGCAGCAGAAAAGAACGAGGCAUCUGCUAGAACUGAGGGGCAGGAGAGAUCGACAAGGAGAAGGACGAGGGGACACAGUGUGGUGUGCAGGGUUGGUGCUGAGAGAACGGAGACGGAAGAGGUGUGCUGGAAGAAGACAGAACCAAUGGCUCGGGGCAGCGGCUCAGGGAGGUGGAGCAGGCAGAGAAUGGGUUUGGUCAACACCAUGCUGCGUUGCAACCUACCACCAGAGACACAGAAGGUGGUUGUUUUUCUCAUCAUGAUGCUACUCAUCAUCAUCAACGUAGUGCUCAUGUUCCUGUUGGCGUUCCAGUAGAACACGGACACACACCACCUCAUGCUUUCACACACAUGGAAAGUGGGGGAAAAAAGUACAGCUGCCCUGUUGAGACGCUGAGCUGCUUGAACUGAUUGGAGUCCAAAAUGUCAGCAACACAACACAGGUACUUUCCAAAAGACAGGAAGGAUCCUUUAGGUGUAUGUGACCUGUGCACAUGCAGAAGAAACUUUUUAUGUUUAGGUAUGGACAACCUGACCUACUUUCUGCUUAUGCAUGUUUUGCCUAUUUCAGUGUAAAAUGCUAUCCAAAUAGCCAAAACUACAGUAAUUUUGCAGUUAAAAUCUAAUGACAAGCUUUAAAAAAACAAAUAGUAAAGUGCACAGUUGGUACAGUACUGUCAAUUGUAAUCAUUUCCUGUUCCAAAUUGGAAUACUAUUUGUGCCCUUAGACCCACGUUUUUCAAUAUUUUUGUCUUACACUUCAUGUAUGUCCUUCUGUUUACGUAUGUGAUGAAUGUUCAUAUGCAUCAUAUAUAACCUGGAAGAUAUUACACUAAAAUCAAGCCACAAUGUUUUAUGUUUUGCCAAAAUAGUUUUAUUGUAGACACAUUUUGUCAGCCAGUAAACAGAAGAUUGACUAUAAAGAGAGAAUGUGCUGUUUACUGACUGGCCGUGGGCCGUAUGUGUGAUUGUUCCACUUUCACUUUCUUUCAAGAUCUAUUACAAACUUGCUAAGGCCAAGGCUAAGGCUAGGGUUAGGGUUAGACACUGUGUGUUCACACUUGUCAUUUUGGUCAGGGUCAAACAGGACUGACAGAUGGGUCUCAGUCGCCGUGCAAGUGGAUUCUAGUCCUGAGUGAAGGCCGACUACCAACGCACAAAAACACUGGAUAUGUCACCAAAUGCAAAACUCAACAGAAAGUUGAGUGCAAAUGAUGAAAAAAUAACAAAGAAGUGUCAGCCCAGUAGUGUACCUAAAGUAGUUAAACAUACGGUACCUGGAUCUUUUCAGCAGAGUCCUGAUGACCAUUAUAGUUCUCUGUUGUCAUCAGAAACACCACCGCCUCAUGUCAUUUAUAUUGUCUUUCUUGUAUGUGACCCGAAAGACAUGUUUUGGGUGUGUGAGGUCAUCAGACAACACAGUAUAUACUGUACAUCACAUAUGCUGUCCAAUAGAGGUGCAACUUUAUGCUUAACCAAACAUUAUUUGGUCCGCUGACAAAAAUACAAGUGUGAACUCUAACUGAAACACAAAAGUUACCACCAAAUAUCUUUUUUUAGUCCGGACUGGAGGACCAAACUACAUCUGUGAAAGCACCCAUAGAAGAAUAACUACAAAACAAUGUGGGGUUGUUUACUGUACUUAAAUUUAGUUGGGCUGUAUGUGUGCUCAUUUAAUGUUCACUGUGUCUUUCAAGAUCGAUUUUAAAUUUGGAUGUAAUGAAUUAAAAAAUAUAUAUACAUAUAUUGAUUUUUUUUAGGUGUUUGAUUUAUUACUUUUUUCUUUACAAGGCAAAUUUAGGUGGUAGAAGAACAUGUAUUGAUCUGAGGGUGUAUUAGUCCUGGUCUGGAUCUAGAUGCAGAAUUAAAACAUUAAAACUACACAAAGGACAUUCCAUCCAGUGA